Molecule: ribosomal RNA, 252 nt
Filed under: uncultured bacterium
Lineage: Bacteria
Description: partial 16S ribosomal RNA
Rfam family: Bacterial small subunit ribosomal RNA
Source: RNAcentral
UACGUAGGGGGCAAGCGUUGUCCGGAAUUAUUGGGCGUAAAGCGCGCGCAGGCGGUUUUAUAAGUCUGGUGUUUAAACGCAGGGCUCAACCUUGUGUCGCACUGGAAACUGUGAGACUGGAGUGUAGGAGAGGAAAGUGGAAUUCCACGUGUAGCGGUGAAAUGCGUAGAGAUGUGGAGGAACACCAGUGGCGAAGGCGACUCUUUGGUCUGUAACUGACGCUGAGGCGCGAAAGCGUGGGGAGCAAACAGG